CCGGCGGCGAGGUCGCUCAGAGCUGGUGGCAGCUGCUCUCGAGCGGCGCCCCGCGGUGGCAGAGGUUGUGCUCGUAGGGCUUGCAUCCGUGCCGCAUGACGCCGUGCAGCUUGGGGAGCGGGCCGCAGAGGCAGUUGUAGCUGAGGUCCAGCGUCUGCAGGGUGGACAGCGCCUCCAGCGACCUGGGCACGGUGCCCCUGAUGCGGUUGUGGCUGAGGUCCAGGUAGGUGAGCUCCUUGGGGAACUUGAGCUUGCUGAGGUCGAAGUCGAGGUUGUUGUAGGACAGGUCCACCUUGCCGAUGGGCCGCGCCUCGGAGAAGAGGAAGGAGGCGUCGCCGCUCAGCUGGUUGUGCGACAGAUCCACGGUGUUGAUCUCGUCCUGCGCGUCGUCGCGCGGGAUCGGGCCCGUCAGCUGGUUGUAGGAGAGCACCAGCGACAUGAACUGCCCCUGCACGAGGCUGGCCGGGAUGGGCCCGGUGAGCUGGUUCCGGCGGAGGUCCAGCGACCGGAGGCUCGGCAGGUCGGCGAAGGAGUUGGGGAUGGAUCCCGUCAGCUUGUUGUUGGAGAGGUCCACGGAGUCGAGGCUGUGGAGCCGCGCCAGGGACUCCGGGAUGGGGCCGGACACGUUGGUGUGGGAGAUGGUGAGGAACUCCAGCUUGGAGAGGGAGGUGAGGCAGGCCGGGAUGGAGCCCUGGAGCCCCGGGAGGCGGAACAGCGACAGCGACAUGAGCGCCGUCAGCCCGGCCAAAGCGGACGGGAUCUGGCC
RNAcentral lists this long non-coding RNA (766 nucleotides) under Hordeum vulgare. Its description in RNAcentral is "long non-coding RNA (HVUL_LNC003511)". The record is from RNAcentral. Lineage: Eukaryota; Viridiplantae; Streptophyta; Magnoliopsida; Poales; Poaceae.